GGACCCAACACUUGAAAAUUGGAUGAAACUCUAUCAGUGACGGGUGAAGCAAAGCCCACCACUGAUGCUAGUCAUCAUGUUUUGCCCACAAAUACAUGAAAAUUAUAUCUUGCCUUCCUUCCCUUCAAUCAACAACCGAAUGGCCCCUCACAUCAACUCUAGAAGAAAGAGGCUGACAAGAAACGACUCUCGAAGCAAGAACUCAACAAAUUUACAAACAUAUAUCGUUCAAAUUUUGAUUUUAAAAAGUUUGGUAUCACUGUGGGCCCCAAGGCGCCCGACAAUGAUAGUUAUGGCAGGUUCUAGGCCUAUCUGACAGGCUACUGCUCAUUUUUUUUUUGGUUUUUUUCCUUCCUUUCUCCAAAGCGCACAAUGACUUGUAAUCAAACUCACUUUUUUCAAUGUUUCUUGCAUUAUUAUUUUCAGUGUUUAUUGCAUUAUUAUUUUCAGUUUUUUGCAUUAUUAUUUCCUGUGUUUUUGCCUUUUGAGUGUACCGAUCAACGAUUCUUGUGGGUCAUUUCUGUACGAAAAUUAAUGUAACUGAAGAAAACUCAAAUGGAUGUUGAAAAUACAUACAUAUAUAUAGUUCAUCUCUCCAUCAUUACAUAUAGAAAUAUAUAAAAAAGGAAAAAUACAUAUGGAAAAUUAUUCCACGCUCCUCAUGAUCUUCUCCAAGGCCUUGGUAAAAUUCUCCAGUGUACCGAUCAACGAUCGGAACACUUCCACGGAGACUUGUACCAUCGGUGGCGGAGGCGUUGGUGACGGCGGUGGCGGCGACGCACGGCGCCGGC
RNAcentral lists this long non-coding RNA (791 nucleotides) under Brachypodium distachyon (stiff brome). Its description in RNAcentral is "long non-coding RNA (BDIS_LNC005495)". Lineage: Eukaryota; Viridiplantae; Streptophyta; Magnoliopsida; Poales; Poaceae. The record is from RNAcentral.